CCAGUUUCUACGAGAUGAAGAGGCAGCCAGGUUAGCUGCACUGAGGGAGGAAGAGGAGCUGAAGAGUCAGAUGAUGAAGGAGAAGAUUGAGAAGAUGAACAGAGAAAUCUCAUCUCUUUCAGACAUAAUCAGAGCCAUAGAAAAGGAGAUGGAAGCUGAUGAUCUUUCAUUCAUACGUAACUACAAGAGCACAGAGGAAAGAGCCCAGUGCACACUGCAGGAUCCAGAGAGGG
This is a long non-coding RNA of Clupea harengus (Atlantic herring), 233 nucleotides long. RefSeq lists it as uncharacterized. Lineage: Eukaryota; Metazoa; Chordata; Actinopteri; Clupeiformes; Clupeidae. The transcript has 3 exons. The record is from RefSeq and is a predicted model, not a curated record.